RNAcentral lists this ribosomal RNA (411 nucleotides) under uncultured Pelagibacterales bacterium. RNAcentral describes it as "bacterial SSU rRNA". It matches the Rfam family "Bacterial small subunit ribosomal RNA", at positions 393 to 821 of the family's 1533-position model. The record is from RNAcentral. Lineage: Bacteria; Pseudomonadati; Pseudomonadota; Alphaproteobacteria; Candidatus Pelagibacterales.
GAUGCCGCGUGAGUGAAGAAGGCCUUUGGGUUGUAAAGCUCUUUCGUCGGGGAAGAAAAUGACUGUACCCGAAUAAGAAGGUCCGGCUAACUUCGUGCCAGCAGCCGCGGUAAUACGAAGGGACCUAGCGUAGUUCGGAAUUACUGGGCUUAAAGAGUUCGUAGGUGGUUAAAAAAGUUGGUGGUGAAAUCCCAGAGCUUAACCCUGGAACUGCCAUCAAAACUUUUUAACUAGAGUAUGAUAGAGGAAAGCGGAAUUUCUAGUGUAGAGGUGAAAUUCGUAGAUAUUAGAAAGAAUACCAAUUGCGAAGGCAGCUUUCUGGAUCAUUACUGACACUGAGGAACGAAAGCAUGGGUAGCGAAGAGGAUUAGAUACCCUCGUAGUCCAUGCCGUAAACGAUGUGUGCUAGAC